GGAGCCGGCCCGGCCCGGCCCGCCCAGCCACGCGUCACCACGCUCCGCCCCACCGCGGGGCGGCGCUGCCUUAAAGCGGCGAUGGCCGUGAGGGGACCACCGCGGUGCGCGGGGGCUGAGGCGGGAUAGAGCAGGUGUUCUUAACUGCAGCCAUGGACCUGUCUGGAGCCCGCAGAUCCCAGUGGCCCUGGUGUCAAACCACCUCCCCCCCGCUGCAGAGUGAGCAUCCUGAAGUGCACCUCGGCUGAGGUAGUUGGGGUCUUUCCAUGCUUUUCUUUUCAGGACGCCUCUGUCAAGAGUGAUGGGUACCAGCUCCCCUCAGCUUUAUUUAGAUUUGGGGUCCCCCACCACAUUUCUCUGCCUAUCUCUUUCCCCUCUCACUUUGGUGGGAAACAUUUCAGGAUGGGGAACAUCCCUACCUGGGUUUGCAUGUGCCUACGCACCGCGCUCCUGAGAUUCCCUCUGUGCCACAAUAAAAACCAAUGUUGCGAAUGACGAAACCUAGCCCAGCUCCUGGGGCUGAGCUGGACCUGAUUGCUGUGCUGCACAUCCUGUGGACAGCCCCUGCCCCAAGCAGCAGGCAGCAAGGUGAGGGGAAGGUGGGAGGAACAAAAAUGUGCUGGGAUGGGAGGGGAACCCAAUGCUUGAAGCCUGGCGGGCCCAUUCCCACAGAGCAAUCCUGCAGGAGCUGGAGUGUAUCUGAAAACUCAAUGGAAGGCUUUAGGAGCACAGGGUUGGAGGCAGCUGGGGUCACCCCACAGAGUGUCAGAGGCAUGGGAUGUACAGAAAUUUUGUUCGUUAUUUAGGGCUGUGGACCCCAGUGCUCUGCUGAUGAAUGGGGCAAAGAAAACACUGGACAUCUCCUUCAUCCUGGGGGAUAUCCAGGGUGGAAUGGACAUGUCUGGACAACUCCAGGUGGGAAAACCAAGCCCGGGGUUGGAGCCCAGGCUGCCCAUCCAGAUGUGGGGCAUCCACCAUACCACUGGCUGCGGUGCCAGGGUGAUGCUCACCGCCCUAUCCAAGAUUGGGGUCGCUGGGAGCCAGGCAGUACGGCUCCCCUGCCUGGUGGGGUUUCUUUCUAUGGAAAUGCCUGCGAGCAGCUGCCCUGCCGAGUGACUCAUUUCCUGCUCUUGUGUCACAUUCUGGUCAGGCCAGUUUGGCAAAGGCUUUUUUCUCUCCCUCGCUGCCUUUCUCUCCUUCUCUCCCCCACCGCGGAGGCCUGGGAUGUGCAUUCACUCAGCCCCUGGCAGGAUGAGGCAGGAUUUUCAGGAAACUGCGUCAAAACCACAAACCUCCAAAAAAAAAAAAAAAAAAUCCAAACAAACAACAAUAAAAAAACCAGAACGGUUUUCUUUUUUUCUUUUUUGGGAGCGAGGGAGGCCGGUGGCUGGGCGGGCUCCUCCUCGCUUUCCCAAAAACAAAGUUCUCUGGACAGCAGCUCUGCUCAUGCGGAGUUCUGUGUUCCCUGGUGGCUGCCCAGGGCUCUGGCUGUGCCACAUCCCCAGAAGCCAUGGGACUGAUAUAGGUUGGUCAGGAACGUGGCCCCAGCAUCCCUCCCUGCAGCUUUUUCCGCACACCUCAAUCUCUGCAGCACAAGGUUCCCUUGUACCCGUGGGGUGGUAGGACAGCAGGAGCAGGGCACGAUCCCAUCCAAGGCAAGGCAAACCCUCUGUAAUCUUUGCUCCUGAGCAAUUCUCAUCCUCCCUCUUCCUUUUCUGCAUGCUCCGUGCAAUUAAAGCAGGCUACAGCCAAAUGACCUGGCAUCACUUGCAUGCUAAAAAGCCCCCCGCUGGGCCGCUACCAAGCUUCCUUUGAACAGCCACGUGCUCCUAGGGCUGCAGGCAGCAUCUGCUGUCAUGCAAACCCAUGGCCCUGCUUGGUGCAGGGAAACUGAGGCAGGGAAGGGGCAGGUGCUCGCCUGCAGCUCGCACAACUGCAGUGCUCGAAAGCCAAAGGGUUUUGUUUGCCCACAGCCAUGGGAAGAGCACGACGGUAUCAGCAUAAAUUAGGUCAGGAAGCAUUGCUAAUAAAAUGUCAAUCCUGGUUGUGUAAUGGGAGCAAUUAUGGGUUUAGGUCUCAUUAGGACACCGGGAAGGAAAACAUGGCUGGUCUGAGGGCAGCAGGAGUGUGAUGGCAAACAAUGACGAGGGUCCUGUUGACAGAAGGAUGAAGCCAUUCUGGUGUCCAAGGAGUUCCCUCACCACAUCACUGGGUUGGGACUGUAGGGAGUGGGGCUCUGCCCCUCACCUAGGACUCAGGUCCCCAUCCUGAGUCCCCAGUUGCCACCAUUCCUGGGGUCCCAUCCAGUGCCUGAUGGGGACAGAGCCUGGGGGCUCAUAUACAGAAGGGACAGUGGGGAUGGAGUGCCUGGUGGCAGCGGCGAGCCUUUAGCCACAGACAUACAGCACAGGCUAAAGGGAAUUGUGGAGGCAUCCAUGAACACAGAGAGUUGUAUGUUGCGUUCGGUCCCACUUACGGCUUAUAAAUGAUUACUGCAUGUUUUAAUAAAUGGUUAAUCAAGUGUUAAGAGUCCAAA
Long non-coding RNA from Numida meleagris (helmeted guineafowl), 2536 nucleotides. RefSeq lists it as uncharacterized. The record is from RefSeq and is a predicted model, not a curated record. NCBI's taxonomy places the organism in Eukaryota, Metazoa, Chordata, Aves, Galliformes, Numididae. The transcript has 2 exons.